Molecule: signal recognition particle RNA, 148 nt
Filed under: Gorilla gorilla gorilla (western lowland gorilla)
Lineage: Eukaryota; Metazoa; Chordata; Mammalia; Primates; Hominidae
Description: Metazoan signal recognition particle RNA
Rfam family: Metazoan signal recognition particle RNA
About the family: The signal recognition particle (SRP) is a universally conserved ribonucleoprotein. It is involved in the co-translational targeting of proteins to membranes.
Source: Rfam by way of RNAcentral
GCUGGGUGUGGUGGCGCACAUCUGUAGUUCCAGCUACUUGGGAGGCUGAGACAGGAGGAUUACUUGAGCUCAGGAGGUGGAGGCUGCAGUGAGCUAUGAUCAUGCCACUGCACUCCAGCCUGGGCAACAGAGUGAGUCCCUGUCUCCA